AUUUGUGGAUGUACCUCCUUGACGAUGCCUGAUCUCGUCUGACUCAGACGCUAAGCGGGGUUGGUCCUGGUUAGUACUUGGAUUGGACCACAAUGUCACAGUGGGGGAGCAGCGGCUCUAGUGCGAACU
RNAcentral lists this ribosomal RNA (129 nucleotides) under Periophthalmus magnuspinnatus. The record is from RNAcentral. Lineage: Eukaryota; Metazoa; Chordata; Actinopteri; Gobiiformes; Gobiidae.